GCUUGAAAUUGCCGGGAGGGAAGCGGAUGGAGGCCGGCGAUGCGUCUCGGUCGGAUGCGGAACGGCUCAAGCUGGUCCGCCGCUCGACUCGAGGUGCGAACCAGCACAAGCCGUUGCAUCGGCACAAGCGCGGGUGGAGUACUGCCUGUUGGUUUGCCGUUGUGGCGGUCGAGGAACGAAGCGUGCGCCCUUGGGGCGGGCCACUGUGCACCUGCACGCUCGUGGUGUUGGUUGGCGGGCUUUCCAUUCGACCCGUCUUGAAACACGGACGAAGGAGUCUAACAUGUGUGCGAGUCGGUGGGUUUGUAAACCUGUGAGGCGUAAGGAAGCUGAUGGGUGAGAACCCCUCUCCAUGGGGUGCAUUGCCGACCAAACUUGAGCUUGUGCGAAGGGUUCGAGUGCGAGCACACUUGUUGGGACCCAAAAGAUGGUGAACUAUGCCUGAGCAGGGCGAAGCCAGAGGAAACUCUAGUGGAGGCUCAUAGCGAUACUAACGUGCAAAUCGUUCGUCUGACUUGGGUAUAGGGGCGAAAGACUAAUCGAACCAUCUAGUAGCUGGUUUCCUCCGAAGUUUCCCUCAGGAUAGUUGGAGCUCACAUGCGAGUUUUAUCGGGUAAAGCAAAUGAUUAGAGGCAUCGGGGGUGUAACGCCCUCGACCUAUUCUCAAACUUUAAAUAGGUAAGACGGUGCGGCUGCUCCAUUGAGCCGUGCCACGGAAUCGAGAGCUCCAAGUGGGCCAUUUUUGGUAAGCAGAAUUGGUGAUGCGGGAUGAACCGAAAGUCAAGUUACGGUGCCAAACUGCAUGCUAACCCAGAUCCCACAAAGGGUGUUGGUUGAUUAAGACAGCAGGAUGGUGGUCAUGGAAGUCGAAAUUCGCUAAGGAGUAUGUAACAACUCACCUGCCGAAUCAACUAGCCCCGAAAAUGGAUGGUGCUGAAGCGUGCGACCUAUACUCGACCGUCGGAGCAAUUGCCAAGCUUCGAUGAGUAGGAGGAUGUGGGGGUCGUUGAGAAACCUUGGGCGCGAGCCUGGGUGGACCGGUCCCCGGUGCAGAUGUUGGUGGUAGUAGCAAAUAUUCAAAUGAGAACUUUGAAGACUGAAGUGGGGAAAGGUUCCAUGUGAACAACACUUGGACAUGGGUUAGUCGAUCCUAAGAGAUGGGGA
This is a non-coding RNA of Picea glauca (white spruce), 1164 nucleotides long. The record is from Rfam. Lineage: Eukaryota; Viridiplantae; Streptophyta; Pinopsida; Pinales; Pinaceae.